CGCCCUUCCAGAGGGGGACAACAGUUGGAAACGACUGCUAAUACCGCAUACGAUCCAAUCUCGGCAUCGAGACUGGAUGAAAGGUGGCCUCUAUUUAUAAGCUAUCACUGAAGGAGGGGAGUUGCGUCUGAUUAGCUAGUUGGAGGGGUAACGGCCCACCAAGGCGAUGAUCAGUAGCCGGUCUGAGAGGAUGAACGGCCACAUUGGGACUGAGACACGGCCCAG
This 225-nucleotide ribosomal RNA is filed under the name uncultured bacterium. RNAcentral describes it as "partial 16S ribosomal RNA". It matches the Rfam family "Bacterial small subunit ribosomal RNA", at positions 126 to 334 of the family's 1533-position model. The record is from RNAcentral.